Molecule: ribosomal RNA, 393 nt
Filed under: uncultured bacterium
Lineage: Bacteria
Description: partial 16S ribosomal RNA
Rfam family: Bacterial small subunit ribosomal RNA
Source: RNAcentral
AUACGGAGGAUGCGAGCGUUAUCCGGAUUUAUUGGGUUUAAAGGGAGCGUAGGUGGGAUAUUAAGUCAGCUGUGAAAGUUUGGGGCUCAACCUUAAAAUUGCAGUUGGUACUGGUUUCCUUGAGUACGGUACAGGUGGGCGGAAUUCGUGGUGUAGCGGUGAAAUGCUUAGAUAUCACGAAGAACUCCGAUCGCGAAGGCAGCUCACCGGGCCGGAACUGACACUGAUGCUCGAAAGUGCGGGUAUCAAACAGGAUUAGAUACCCUGGUAGUCCGCACAGUAAACGAUGAAUACUCGCUGUUUGCGAUACACUGUAAGCGGCCAAGCGAAAGCGUUAAGUAUUCCACCUGGGGAGUACGCCGGCAACGGUGAAACUCAAAUGAAUUGGCGGGG